GCCACAGUCACAGCUGUUUACAGGACUCUGCUGGAGUCUGUAAGUGGCUUGGACACUCAGCUGGACUGGCAAAGCAGAAUAUCUGUGUGUCAGUGUACUUCAUUCAUCCGUCGCUGGGUCAGGGUCUGGGGGUCAGACCCCUGCAGCUGGUGCCCCUGUGUGAGGAACGCUACCACACAUCCUGGCCUGGGCUGGGGAGUCCAUCCAAUGGAAUAUAUUUAAGGUAUGAAAAGGGCCUCGUUCAGUUCCUGGAGCAAGGGAGCCACCCGAUAAUGCCUUCCCUUGCACCCCAGAUGAAGCCAAGCACAGUGAGAGAAGCAUCUCCAGAUCUCUAUCUGGUGGAGCUGCUGGACUUCCCUCGGGGCAGGAACAUGAAAUCUGAGGGAAGAUACUUUUGGAACCUUGAAUCUGAAAGGAACUCAAUGUUUUGCAUCCUUGGGAUUGCCAGAGAUUGGCAGAGGAGAGUCAAACAAGGACACAGAGAUGGAGCAGCCUUGAUAAGGCAAUCUGGACACAAAGGGACACUGGGGUACAUAUGUACAGAAAAAAGACCAUGUGAAGACACAGUGAGAAAGUGGUCAUUUGCAAGCAAAGAAGAGGUCUCAGAAGAAUGCAAACCUGCUGACACCUUGAUCUCAGAAUUCUAGCCUCCAGAAUGGUAAGAAAAUAAAUUUCUGUUGUUUAGCUCAUAUAGUCUGUGGUAUUUUGUUAUGGCAACCCUAGCAGAUUACACACACAUGGAGACACACAAGCACACACAUAGAUGCGUAUAUAAUCUUUUAUCCUUACCCUAACUCUAUAAGGUAAGCAUUAUUAUCCUUAUUUUAUAGAUGAGGACAUUGAGGCGCAGAGAAAUUAAGUGACCUUCCUCAGAGUCACAUAUGACAGCUAAAUGGUUACAAAGUCCAUAGUAACUAUAGGAUCCCUGUGAUGUUGUGAAAUAUCUAUUUGGUCUUCAUCCCAGUCUCCUAGCGCACAACUCCUAAAAUCCCUGGACUCUUCAAAGUGCUGGAGCUACUCCAGGGGUUUACAGCUUGCCAGUUUUGCAAUGAAGUGCUUAGAUCAGAACUCUGAGCAGGACCCCGUUUACUGGGACAGUCUGGCCAUCAGAUGGUGCCUGUAUCAGUGUAGCCCCAGAUCUCAUGGCUUUGCAAACAUCUGUGCUCUCUGCUUUACCCUGCAGCAUUUCACUUCCAUUAAAAGUGCAGCCUAAAAUCUCCCUUGUGCAUCCUUGUCUGGGAACUGGGUGACUUCCAGUUGAAGGGUCAAUAAAUAUAAUUAAAAGGAUCAUCCAACUGGAUCUCUUUCUCUGAGUGUCUUCCCUUGGAGGGACAACCCUCUCCAUCUCAUAAAUGGAUUUUUUCGAACAUGAGGACUUUGAAAGGUGGCAGAUGUCCUCAGCCUAUUGAUUUGUGUAGUUUGAUGCCUGGCAAGUGGUAGUCAGAGUCCUCAGAUUCAUAAGGACACCCCCUCAUAUGCAGAGGAUUCACAGAUGAUAUUCACUGUAUUAUGGCCUGAUCGAUAGUCCCCUACCAAAUAAAUGCUCAUCUACUCUAUCACCUCUCCUCAUAGACAAGUAAUAACACCAUGACUUAUUAGGAAAUACAAUGAGCGUAAAACAGUAGUAGCCAGCUUCCUGAAUAACUGUUACAUAACACGGCAUUUCUUGGUACUUUCACGUACCCU
RNAcentral lists this long non-coding RNA (1686 nucleotides) under Homo sapiens (human). RNAcentral's name for it is "non-protein coding lnc-OXGR1-7:2". The record is from RNAcentral. Lineage: Eukaryota; Metazoa; Chordata; Mammalia; Primates; Hominidae.